UAUGAGCUUUGUGGAGAAAACUUUGGCAUGUACUGAUAUCCUGUAUUUUUCUAUUGCAGUCUGAGGAACGAAUGAGGAAAGAGAUGGAAAGAUUUGAUCAUGAAAGAAGGAAGGAAGAAGAAAGGUUGAUGCGUGAACAGCAGAGAGAGGAGGAGAGAUUGCUACGUGAGCAAAGGCGAGAAUCAGAGCGACAGGAGUAGUAUUUGCAGAAAGAAUCUAAGGCGGAGAAAAAGAGACAAAAAGAAGAGCUUCGUCGAGAAAAAGAAGAAGAGAGACGAAAAGCUGCAGUGGAGAAGGCCACUGCUCGCAGAAUUGCCAAGGAAUCCAUGGAGAUUAUGGAGGAUGAACAGCUGGAGCUGAUGGAAUUGGCCGCUGCAAGCAAGGGGUUGCCUUCAAGUCUUUAGAGAUAAGGAAUUGACCUUUGGCACUGCACGAUCAAUAUGAAUAGCAAUUUCAACCACUAUGCAUGUUUGCUCAACAUCAUACCAUAAAGCAAAACUAGAAGAAUAAUUGAGUUGUGCAAUCAGUAAACAAGAGCUAAAGCAGCUUGUCAUGCUACUAUUGGAAAGUGGCAAAGAAACAAAUAUGUGGGUGUGUCCCUUGUUGGGAAAACGCUUGCCAUUAUGGGUUUUGGAAAGGUUGGAUCAGAAGUCGCACGUUGUGCCAAAGGUCUUGGUAUGCAUGUGAUUGCACAUGACCCUUAUGCCCCCGCAGAUUG
This is a long non-coding RNA of Eucalyptus grandis, 718 nucleotides long. RefSeq lists it as uncharacterized. The record is from RefSeq and is a predicted model, not a curated record. The transcript is spliced from 3 exons. Lineage: Eukaryota; Viridiplantae; Streptophyta; Magnoliopsida; Myrtales; Myrtaceae.